UACAGAGGUCCCGAGCGUUGUUCGGAUUCAUUGGGCGUAAAGGGUGCGUAGGCGGCGGGGCAAGUCUGAUGUGAAAUCCUGGGGCUCAACCCUGGAACUGCAUUGGAUACUGCCUUGCUAGAGAACUGGAGAGGAGACUGGAAUUUACGGUGUAGCAGUGAAAUGCGUAGAGAUCGUAAGGAAGACCAGUGGCGAAGGCGAGUCUCUGGACAGUUACUGACGCUGAGGCACGAAGGCCAGGGGAGCAAACGGG
This 253-nucleotide ribosomal RNA is filed under the name uncultured bacterium. RNAcentral describes it as "partial 16S ribosomal RNA". It matches the Rfam family "Bacterial small subunit ribosomal RNA", at positions 524 to 776 of the family's 1533-position model. The record is from RNAcentral.